GCUAGUAAUCGCAGAUCAGCAUGCUGCGGUGAAUACGUUCCCGGGCCCUUGUACACACCGCCCGUCACACCAUGGGAGUCGGUAACACCCGAAGUCGGUAGCCUAACCGUAAGGAGGGCGCCGCCGAAGGUGGGAUUGAUGACUGGGGUGAAGUCGUAACAAGGUAGC
Molecule: ribosomal RNA, 168 nt
Filed under: uncultured bacterium
Lineage: Bacteria
Description: partial 16S ribosomal RNA
Rfam family: Bacterial small subunit ribosomal RNA
Source: RNAcentral